RNAcentral lists this ribosomal RNA (3011 nucleotides) under Salmonella enterica subsp. enterica serovar Typhimurium. RNAcentral's name for it is "bacterial LSU rRNA". It matches the Rfam family "Bacterial large subunit ribosomal RNA". The record is from RNAcentral. Lineage: Bacteria; Pseudomonadati; Pseudomonadota; Gammaproteobacteria; Enterobacterales; Enterobacteriaceae.
GGGUUGUGAGGUUAAGCGACUAAGCGUACACGGUGGAUGCCCUGGCAGUCAGAGGCGAUGAAGGACGUGCUAAUCUGCGAUAAGCGCCGGUAAGGUGAUAUGAACCGUUAUAACCGGCGAUUUCCGAAUGGGGAAACCCAGUGUGAUUCGUCACACUAUCAUUAACUGAAUCCAUAGGUUAAUGAGGCGAACCGGGGGAACUGAAACAUCUAAGUACCCCGAGGAAAAGAAAUCAACCGAGAUUCCCCCAGUAGCGGCGAGCGAACGGGGAGGAGCCCAGAGCCUGAAUCAGCAUGUGUGUUAGUGGAAGCGUCUGGAAAGGCGCGCGAUACAGGGUGACAGCCCCGUACACAAAAGCGCAUGUGCUGUGAGCUCGAUGAGUAGGGCGGGACACGUGGUAUCCUGUCUGAAUAUGGGGGGACCAUCCUCCAAGGCUAAAUACUCCUGACUGACCGAUAGUGAACCAGUACCGUGAGGGAAAGGCGAAAAGAACCCCGGCGAGGGGAGUGAAAAAGAACCUGAAACCGUGUACGUACAAGCAGUGGGAGCACCCUUCGGGGUGUGACUGCGUACCUUUUGUAUAAUGGGUCAGCGACUUAUAUUCUGUAGCAAGGUUAACCGAAUAGGGGAGCCGGAGGGAAACCGAGUCUUAAUUGGGCGUUAAGUUGCAGGGUAUAGACCCGAAACCCGGUGAUCUAGCCAUGGGCAGGUUGAAGGUUGGGUAACACUAACUGGAGGACCGAACCGACUAAUGUUGAAAAAUUAGCGGAUGACCUGUGGCUGGGGGUGAAAGGCCAAUCAAACCGGGAGAUAGCUGGUUCUCCCCGAAAGCUAUUUAGGUAGCGCCUCGUGAAUUCAUCUCCGGGGGUAGAGCACUGUUUCGGCUAGGGGGCCAUCCCGGCUUACCAACCCGAUGCAAACUGCGAAUACCGGAGAAUGUUAUCACGGGAGACACACGGCGGGUGCUAACGUCCGUCGUGAAGAGGGAAACAACCCAGACCGCCAGCUAAGGUCCCAAAGUCAUGGUUAAGUGGGAAACGAUGUGGGAAGGCCCAGACAGCCAGGAUGUUGGCUUAGAAGCAGCCAUCAUUUAAAGAAAGCGUAAUAGCUCACUGGUCGAGUCGGCCUGCGCGGAAGAUGUAACGGGGCUAAACCAUGCACCGAAGCUGCGGCAGCGAACGUAUCACCCAAGACAACUUUACGGAGUUGACGAUUGACGGAGCGAAGCGACGUCAAAGCGUUCAUUAAAGUCGAGUUGGCUUAGGGAUACGUUCGUUGGGUAGGGGAGCGUUCUGUAAGCCUGUGAAGGUGUGUCGUGAGGCAUGCUGGAGGUAUCAGAAGUGCGAAUGCUGACAUAAGUAACGAUAAAGCGGGUGAAAAGCCCGCUCGCCGGAAGACCAAGGGUUCCUGUCCAACGUUAAUCGGGGCAGGGUGAGUCGACCCCUAAGGCGAGGCCGAAAGGCGUAGUCGAUGGGAAACGGGUUAAUAUUCCCGUACUUGGUGUUACUGCGAAGGGGGGACGGAGAAGGCUAUGUUGGCCGGGCGACGGUUGUCCCGGUUUAAGGGUGUAGGUGUGUGUUCCAGGUAAAUCCGGUUCACUUUAACACUGAGGCGUGACGACGAGGCACUACGGUGCUGAAGCAACAAAUGCCCUGCUUCCAGGAAAAGCCUCUAAGCAUCAGGUAACAUCAAAUCGUACCCCAAACCGACACAGGUGGUCAGGUAGAGAAUACCAAGGCGCUUGAGAGAACUCGGGUGAAGGAACUAGGCAAAAUGGUGCCGUAACUUCGGGAGAAGGCACGCUGACACGUAGGUGAAGUGAUUUACUCAUGGAGCUGAAGUCAGUCGAAGAUACCAGCUGGCUGCAACUGUUUAUUAAAAACACAGCACUGUGCAAACACGAAAGUGGACGUAUACGGUGUGACGCCUGCCCGGUGCCGGAAGGUUAAUUGAUGGGGUCAGCGUAAGCGAAGCUCCUGAUCGAAGCCCCGGUAAACGGCGGCCGUAACUAUAACGGUCCUAAGGUAGCGAAAUUCCUUGUCGGGUAAGUUCCGACCUGCACGAAUGGCGUAAUGAUGGCCAGGCUGUCUCCACCCGAGACUCAGUGAAAUUGAACUCGCUGUGAAGAUGCAGUGUACCCGCGGCAAGACGGAAAGACCCCGUGAACCUUUACUAUAGCUUGACACUGAACAUUGAGCCUUGAUGUGUAGGAUAGGUGGGAGGCUUUGAAGUGUGGACGCCAGUCUGCAUGGAGCCGACCUUGAAAUACCACCCUUUAAUGUUUGAUGUUCUAACGUGGACCCGUAAUCCGGGUUGCGGACAGUGUCUGGUGGGUAGUUUGACUGGGGCGGUCUCCUCCUAAAGAGUAACGGAGGAGCACGAAGGUUGGCUAAUCCUGGUCGGACAUCAGGAGGUUAGUGCAAUGGCAUAAGCCAGCUUGACUGCGAGCGUGACGGCGCGAGCAGGUGCGAAAGCAGGUCAUAGUGAUCCGGUGGUUCUGAAUGGAAGGGCCAUCGCUCAACGGAUAAAAGGUACUCCGGGGAUAACAGGCUGAUACCGCCCAAGAGUUCAUAUCGACGGCGGUGUUUGGCACCUCGAUGUCGGCUCAUCACAUCCUGGGGCUGAAGUAGGUCCCAAGGGUAUGGCUGUUCGCCAUUUAAAGUGGUACGCGAGCUGGGUUUAGAACGUCGUGAGACAGUUCGGUCCCUAUCUGCCGUGGGCGCUGGAGAACUGAGGGGGGCUGCUCCUAGUACGAGAGGACCGGAGUGGACGCAUCACUGGUGUUCGGGUUGUCAUGCCAAUGGCACUGCCCGGUAGCUAAAUGCGGAAGAGAUAAGUGCUGAAAGCAUCUAAGCACGAAACUUGCCCCGAGAUGAGUUCUCCCUGAGACUUAGAGUCUCCUGAAGGAACGUUGAAGACGACGACGUUGAUAGGCCGGGUGUGUAAGCGCAGCGAUGCGUUGAGCUAACCGGUACUAAUGAACCGUGAGGCUUAACCUUACAACGCCGAAG